Molecule: RNA transcript, 4462 nt
Organism: Olea europaea var. sylvestris
Lineage: Eukaryota; Viridiplantae; Streptophyta; Magnoliopsida; Lamiales; Oleaceae
Exons: 5
Source: RefSeq, a predicted model, not a curated record
UUAAGGCAACCUAGCAAUCCAGCCCAAUUUUGCAAUUCUCAUUCGUAUCUCCCCAAUCCCAAAUGAACCCUUAAGCGAUCGACGGCGAAACAAAGGCGAAUCGAAGGCCAGCGACUCCGUCAUCUCUCCAUCCCAUCUUCAUCCAUCUCCUCGAAGGCGUUCGGUCAUUUUUUUUCCUCAAGUCUUUCAGUUGUUUUUUCGUCAUUCAAAUCCGCCACCGGCCCACCACCGUCUUCUCCAGCUAAAUCUGCAGCCAAAAUUAGGUGAGCGUGGGGUGAGAGGAGAAACGAGGGCGAAUCCGGAAAAUUAUGAUAUUGUGUUAUCUGGAAAUAAGGCCAUGCAGUUUCUAUGGGCUUCAUCUUGCGGUGAUGCUAAUAUCCUGGAGACAUCGUUCAGCAACAUGCUUAAAAGCAAUUCUAAGAAACCACAAUAAUGCUACAUAGCCACAUAGUUUGACACAAAACUUGACACAAUGAGUGGAAAAUGGAAAAAAAAAUAAUAAUAAUAAAGAGAAAGAAAAAAACUAGCGCCACUGAAAAUUGGGUGAAAUUUGAAAAUUUUAAAAUCGGCCCACUUGUUAAAAUCGACCCGGCCCAGUUGUUAAACCCGUAUCUCGGCGAAAACCCGUUUCAUUUUGUCAUUUUCACUUCGAAUUAAAACCCGUGUCUAGGUCUUUCGAACUCUUCGUCCUUAUUGUGGCGCGAUCUGUAGGCCUCAGCCGGUUGCAAUGGCGCGAUCUUGUUACCAGAUCCAACUGCAUCCCUUCUCUCCUGUACAUGGCGCAUGACAAAUACCUAUUUUGGCUGGAAAAGAAAUCGAACUACAGUGGCUGGUAGAGAAACCCAUUUCAUCAUUCUUGAAUAAUCUUAAUCAAUAGGUAUUUGACUAAUAUUUUAGGUUAAUUAGACACUUACUAUGCAUAUUUUGUAAAUCCAAAAUUCUAACUUGUUGAUUGCGUCGUCUGCGUGUACUACAUUGAAUGAAGAAGGGGUUGGCAUUGGGAAAAGACUCUAGAAGUAGAUGAACCUAACAUUUUUCAGCCGAGAGAUGAUCGAAAAAGGUAUUGGUUUCCUUCUUUACCGUUUGGAAUUAGGGGAUUUGUAAUGUGAUUUUCUCUCUUUACAGUUUCUUGACUUGGUUACUGAUAGAUGGUCUCACAUUGCGAUAUAAGUAGGUAGACUGUUUAUGUUUUAAUUUGCCCUUUGAAUUCUGUCUAUGUUUUAAUUUUCCCAUGGAUUGAUGACGUGAGAAUAAACUGCGUUAUCUAUCUGAAAUUUUCAAACUGGAGUUGAAGAAUACAUUAAGCUUGUCGAGAUCCAAUCGGUACUCAAUUAUUAUUAUUUUCAUUUCCUACAAAUUAUUAAUUUUUAUUAGGUUAUAUGAGACGAGAGUGAGCAUCAAUGAUGAGCUUUAUCUGAAUUGUUAUCCUUGCACUUUGAUUGUUAGUGAAGAAAACCCAUGGGGAUUCACAAGUCUGAGAUGCUCAUUGGACAUUUCUAUAUAAUUCUCUUGCUGUAUUUUAGUUUCCUUAAUUUUUUGCUUCUUCUCGUUUUGAUUUGAACCAUUAUAUUUUCUACUUUUCUUCAAACGAUUAUUUGCAUUGUAGUCCACCGUAAUUUGACUAGUUUCUAUUUGAAUUAUAGUUACAUAAAUUAUUUGACAUGUUAAAUAAUUUGUUUGAUGAAGGGAAAGAAAUUUCGGAAUAUGUGGAUGAAAUUAUACCGGUAGAGUGCGAUAAUGAGGAUGUUGUGGAUAUUAUGAAUGUAGCGGGUGAUGAUACGUUAGUUGGAGAUGAUGUGAUUGUGCCCGAGCCGGGUAUGAAAUUCAAGGAUGAGAAUGAAAUUUUCGAUUUGUACAAAAGAUAUGCAUACGAAAUUGGUUUCCCGGUUAGGAAACGAAAUUCGGUAAAGGAUGAUGACGGAGUAUGGAGAAAUGUUAUAUUUGUUUGUAGCCGUGAAGGGAAAAGAAUAAAAAACACAAGCGGUUCUUUGAAACUGCAAGCAACCAUGCAGAGUGGAUGUAAAGCCAGGAUCUGCGCAUCCAAAGAUGUUUGUGGAAUAUGGAAGAUUAACAAGGUACAUCUAGACCACAAUCAUAAGACAAGCCCUUCGAAGUCUAGGUUGUAUCGACGCUACUGAGAGUUGAGUGCACAUGUUAAACGAAGACUCGAAGUGAAUGACAUGGCAGGAAUUCCAUUACACAAGAGCUUCAACUCUACAGUUGUUGAAGCGGGUGGGUAUAAGAAUUUGAGUUGCAUCGAGAAGGAUUGUCGUAACUAUGUUAAGAAAGUUAGGCGUUUAAGACUUGUACAAGGGGACGCAUCAGCACUGCAAUCAUACUUCUCUAAAAUGUAGGCACAGUGCGCGGGCUUUUACUUUAGUAUAGAUCUGGAUGACGAUUUGCGUCUAAAGAAUGUUUUUUGGGCAGACUAUAGGAGUAGGCAAGCAUAUAAAGAGUUCGGUGAUGUUGUCACAUUUGACACCAUAUACCUCACGAAUAAGUACGAUAUGCCAUUUGCUCCUUUUGUUGGAGUGAACCACCAUGGACAGUCGACACUCCUUGGAUGUGGUCUGGUCUCGAAUGAGGAUACAGAGACAUUUGUCUGACUUUUUCGAACCUGGCUGCAAUGCAUGCAUGGAUAGGUUCCGCAUGGGAUAGUUACGGAUCAGGAUAGGGCUAUGCAAAAUGCAAUCCAGAUUGUGUUUCCUAAUACAAAGCAUAGAUGGUGUUUGUGGCACAUAUUGAAGAAGUUGCCUGAGUAGUUCGGAUACCAUGUGGAUAAGGGGUCUAUAUUCACUACUAUACAUAGUUUGGUCUACGAUUGUCAGUUUGUAGAAGAUUUCGAAAACGGUUGGAGAGUGAUGGUAGAAAGGUUUCACUUAUAUGAGAAUGAGUGGUUAGCGGGUUUGUACGAGAACAGAGAAUGUUGGGUACCUUGCUAUCUAAAAACCACAUUCUGGAUAGGGAUGUCAACUACUCAAUGCAGUGAGAGUAUGUAUGUAUUUUUUGAUGGUUAUGUACAUUCGAAGACAACGUUGAAGCAAUUUGUUAAACAAUAUAAACAAACAUUGAGAAAUAAGGUUGAGAAAGAGUUUCAAGCAGACUUCAAGUCGUUCUAGCAAAUGGUACCAUGCGCAUCGAGAUAUGGAAUUGAGAAGCAAUUUCAAGCAGUUUACACAAUUUCGAAAUUUAAGGAAGUUCAAGAGGAGUUCACGGGUAAAAUGUACUGCGACCUUGUUUCUGUCUCUGAGGGAUUAUCGGGGGCAACGUACGAGGUACGGGAGGAUGUAAUAAAUGACGAGCAUUCGAAGAAAAAAAGUUUUUUUUGUCUCAUUUCAAAGAGAUAAAUGUGAAAUCACUUGCAAUUGCCACAACUUUGAGUUUCGAGGGAUUAUUUGUAGACAUAUGAUCGCAGUAUUGGUCCGUAAUGAUGUGAAAUCCAUACUCGAAAGAUAUAUAUUACGGAGAUGGCGACGAGAUGUGAGUAGGGCCCACACGAGGUUAGCAGUGAACUAUGAUGGUUUGAUUAGUAUGCCAUGGCAAUUGAAGUACGACAAAAUGUGUCAACGCUUUGCGACAUUGGCCGAUCUGACAACAGAAGAUGAAGCGAAAUUUGAUGCAAUAAUUGAUUGGAUUGACAGUUAAUGUCAAGAGAUGAUGGAAACAAAUCGUACUAACAGUAAUGUCCUCUCCCCACAUAUGACUCGGACAUCAUUCCAAUGUGGAGCUCUAGAGGAUACUGCAAGCGGUAACAUAAGGGAUCCAGAAUGUGUGAAAAGAAAAGGUGCCCCAAAGAAACUUCGGAAGAAGAGCCCAUUAGAAACCAUUUCGAGCAAAGUUAAGGCAAGUACGGGUUCUACCAAACGGGAGAAAACGAAGGUUCCUGGAAGUGAUAUGGGAAUGGUUGCAGCGCCCAUUCUCCAGUCGUCUCAACAACUACACAUGUCGCUACCGUUCUCCUAUACGAACCUCCUUUUGGUGGGAACCAAAAUCUUCAUUUCACAUAACACUUGCAAUCCACGUGUCUAAACCCUUCAUUGGCAACAACUCCUACAUUAAAUAUGCAAGGUUUAGGAAUGCAUUUUGAUGGAGGAAACACGGAUGCACCUACGGAAGUUGGACCGUCUAUCACAUUAUCAAACCCAAAAGAUGCACCCGUCCCAAAUGAUGUACAGCGAAAUUCAAGACCUUCUCAAGAACAUGUACAACACUCCGUUGAAGGCAGAGGGCUAAUCAAGUGACCUUCACUCUCUUCGUGCAAUUCCUCGAGUUUUAUCUAUGCAUAUGUUAGAAUUUUAAUGUAUGACUUAGGAAUGAACUUUUAGUUUGCAGGGUGAAUGGUUUGUAAACCUUGUUUUUGCGCUAAUUCCUUGUGGGAAGUCUGGAUGCAAGUUAUUUCUAUGUUUUAAUGUACUUGUGCAUGUAUUUUUGAGCAAUUUUCUUCUACUUAUGCUUUUGCCAA